Molecule: ribosomal RNA, 353 nt
Filed under: Streptomyces sp. S3(2020)
Lineage: Bacteria; Bacillati; Actinomycetota; Actinomycetes; Kitasatosporales; Streptomycetaceae
Description: partial 23S ribosomal RNA
Rfam family: Bacterial large subunit ribosomal RNA
Source: RNAcentral
ACAGUGGACGCGAGCAUCUGUGGCCAAGUUUUUAAGGGCGCACGGUGGAUGCCUUGGCACCAGGAACCGAUGAAGGACGUGGGAGGCCACGAUAGUCCCCGGGGAGCCGUCAACCAGGCUUUGAUCCGGGGGUUUCCGAAUGGGGAAACCCGGCAGUCGUCAUGGGCUGUCACCCAUACCUGAACACAUAGGGUAUGUGGAGGGAACGCGGGGAAGUGAAACAUCUCAGUACCCGCAGGAAGAGAAAACAACCGUGAUUCCGGGAGUAGUGGCGAGCGAAACCGGAUGAGGCCAAACCGUAUGCGUGUGAGACCCGGCAGGGGUUGCGCAUGCGGGGUUGUGGGAUCUCUCUU